Molecule: ribosomal RNA, 508 nt
Filed under: uncultured bacterium
Lineage: Bacteria
Description: bacterial SSU rRNA
Rfam family: Bacterial small subunit ribosomal RNA
Source: RNAcentral
GACGAACGCUGGCGGCGUGGAUUAGGCAUGCAAGUCGAACGGUAUCAUCCUUUCGGGGGUGAGAGAGUGGCGAACUGGUGAGUAACACGUAGGUUAUCUACCCUCAAGACGGGGACAACCCAGGGAAACUUGGGCUAAUACCGGAUGUGAGCAACUUUUAGUUGUUUGAAAGGUGGCGUAAGCUGUCGCUUGGGGAUGAGCCUGCGUCCUAUUAGUUAGUUGGUGAGGUAACGGCUCACCUAGGCAAUGAUAGGUAGGCGGCCUUAACGGGUGGUCGCCCACACUGGGAUUGAGAUACGGCCCAGACUCCUACGGGAGGCAGCAGUCGAGAAUAGUCUACAAUGGUCGGAAGACUGAUAGUGCGACGCCGCGUGAACGAUGAAUCCCUUCGGGGUGUAAAAGUUCUUUUAUAUGUGAGCAGUGCUUCUUAUAUUAAACAGUAUGGGGAGAGAGAUAUUAGCAUAUGAAUAAGCAAACGGCUAAACUCCGUGCCAGCAGCCGCGGUAAA